This 21577-nucleotide long non-coding RNA is filed under the name Nicotiana tabacum (common tobacco). Its description in RNAcentral is "long non-coding RNA (NTAB_LNC000996)". Lineage: Eukaryota; Viridiplantae; Streptophyta; Magnoliopsida; Solanales; Solanaceae. The record is from RNAcentral.
AUAAAUGAUUCAUUUCAUAAUAUAAAAAUAGACAAAUCCCAAAACGAUACAAAGAUAAUAAUAAGUCACUAAUGGCACUUGGCCUUAUUACAUUUGGAAAACAAGUAAACCUAAUCUAUUUGGCCUUAGAAGGACCUUCCUCAGGUUGAAUGCUCUCGUUGAUCAAAUCCUCCAGUUCGCAUAGGUUCACCAGUAAAAAUGCCUUUUCUAGGUGUUCUCCUUCAUUUCCCUCGGUAUUCUGGCAGUCGGUGACUCUCUUCCUCACUUUUCCUUCUAAUUCCAUCAAACUGUAUUCCAGAUAUUCCAACUUUUUGCUAGCUUUGGCGGCCCUCUCUUUCCACUCAUUCAUUUGGCCAUUCGAUGGAAGACUCCUCCACCAGUUUAACAAGAGUGGGGACGUGCUAACCAUACCGAAACUGGGGACCUCGUGCCUCAUUUUCUGCAAAACAAAAAGGGUUAGACCCUACCCCUACCGGACUCGACUAUUUAUACAUUUAUGAUUAGCACAUCGACAUUUAGUUCUCCAAAUUAAUGCACAAAACGUGGUUGUGUUCGUUGGGAUUACGGAAAACCCGAUGGACUUUGGAUAAGUCUUUAUUUUAAAUGAUCAUUAUGUGAACAACAUAACUAACCCGGCUAGGUUUGACCAUGAUACAUGCGCAAUUUAAACAGAGUAAGGUUUCUAUGGGGUUUUAGACCGGUACCCUUGAGCAGACAACUCAAGGGGGAAGGCACGGAAUUGUCGACUGUACCGCUGAUCGACUAGUUUACUGCAAAUAAGUCUUUCCGAAUUUAUGGGGGUAAUGAUAUAGGAAGGGCGCAACCACUCACCAAGCGUUGCUAUAGUAUUUGUUUGGCACUAGUGGAGUAUGAUGUGGAGCAUGAUUUAUGCAGAAGCUAAUAACAUGUAGGCAAGUAUUUUCACAUUGGAGAAAUAGUUACAGCAUUUAAAUAAUUGAAAAGACAAUUACAAGAAAAGGAAAACAAAGAGACAAGUCAGUUUUUAGGGUAAUAAAGNNNNNNNNNNNNNNNNNNNNNNNNNNNNNNNNNNNNNNNNNNNNNNNNNNNNNNNNNNNNNNNNNNNNNNNNNNNNNNNNNNNNNNNNNNNNNNNNNNNNNNNNNNNNNNNNNNNNNNNNNNNNNNNNNNNNNNNNNNNNNNNNNNNNNNNNNNNNNNNNNNNNNNNNNNNNNNNNNNNNNNNNNNNNNNNNNNNNNNNNNNNNNNNNNNNNNNNNNNNNNNNNNNNNNNNNNNNNNNNNNNNNNNNNNNNNNNNNNNNNNNNNNNNNNNNNNNNNNNNNNNNNNNNNNNNNNNNNNNNNNNNNNNNNNNNNNNNNNNNNNNNNNNNNNNNNNNNNNNNNNNNNNNNNNNNNNNNNNNAAUAUCCCCAGUGGAGUCUCCAUGCUGUCGCGUCCCCUUUUUCCCUCCUCGCGGAGAGAGGUCCGGGUUUCGACAUUCCAUGGGGUGUGAUAACUCAUUUCCUUUUGUGGAAUUGGGUAUUUGAAGAGUCGCCACCAAACGGAUUAUGGUGCGUUAUGGCACCUAGAGUGAUUAACUCUUGGGUUGGUUUGCAUUACCAGAGAUUAGGGUAAGGGCUAGAGAUAACCUCGAGGGGAAGGUGUUAGGCACCCCUCUUGAUCCACAACUGUGAGUCCCGACCAAACUUAUAUUUUUACAAAUUAGUCUAUACAAAUAAUUGAGUCAAAUAGGUGCAGUACAUUUGAACAUGUCAAGUUGUGAAAUAAAGGUUGAACACAUAUGAAGAAAAGUUUUAAACAAGGAGAAGGUUAGGUGGUGAAGAGGGGUGAUAGGUUGUUUAUCCUACAGGAUCACCCCACGCAAUGUCCAGUAACUACUCCUCAAUGAGGGGUUACAUAUGACACUAGUGCAUAGUCAUCAUAUCCCACAUCUACCCUUCCCAUCCCCUUAUUGGUCAUGCAAAGCGAGUGUUGGUCACCGAAUCCUAUUGCGUGCUGCUACCCGUCCUUUCUUAAUAGUCCCGGAGGGAAUUAAGACCUCUUCCUAUAGGCAGUUCUAGACAUACCCCUAAGGCUUAAAGGUAAAACUCUAAGGCGACAGUCAAAUAAAAGCAAUUUAGGACUUUCACAUAAAUGGAGCAAUUAAAGGCUCAUAGUUUCCUCCACAAACAAGCAUACAUGCAGCACGACUCAACCACAAAUAAGGUCUUUAGCAAUCAAAGUCCUAAAGCAAGAUUUCUAAAUGAUUAUGCAGCAAUAAACCACUUUCAGAUGCAGAAGUCACAAGCUAUUAGUUGCCUAGGAUCUCUUUUAAAAGCUCAUUAGGAUUCAGAAACGUUGAGUGACAGAAACAGCUUCAGAGUAGUGCAAGUUUUUGAAAACGCCCUAAGGCUUACCUACAUGCAGGACUGACACUUAUGUUAAUGCAGAAACAAGCAAGUUUUGAAAUAAUACCUCUUAAACCUACAGGUAGGAUAUCUAAUGAGAUUACAUCAGUUUUGAAAGGACUAAUUUUAGAAAAAAGAGUUAUUGCCCGAUUUUGAGAAGUAAACUAGGCGAGGUACAUUCGAUCUAUUAGGCUAAUUCGAAUUACCAAAUAGAAUUGCGAAUUAGAUCAUGGUAUCUAGGCGUAUUACUGUUUUUAGUCAACUUGCAGUAACAUAUGAAAGGCUAGCUUAAUCAAAAUUACACCAUAUAGGCAUAGUAUCUACACUUGAGUUGAUUUAAACAUGAUGAGUUGGAACCUAGAAACAUGGUUUCCACAUGACAAAUGCAGGAUUUAAGAACGUGAUUCGUAUUUGAUGCAAGUGACAUUAAAAGUGAAGUCCUUAUAGGCAUAGUUUCUAUUAUGAUGCAAAUGAGAUUGAAAGCGAAACCCUACAGGCAUGCUUCUACUAUGCAAAUGCAAUCAGCUUCAACAUGAACAGAAACCCUAUAGGCAUGUUCUUUAGUUAGUGAGGCAAACAGAUUCGAAAUUAAAUACAAAAGCAGGAUUUCUACCCAAGUUACCCCAUAAAGUAUAGAUCUACCCAUCCUUUUACUAAAUGCCCUAAAUAUCUGUUUGCAAAUUAUUACAGGCCAACAAAUGAAUUACAUUAGUGAAAUAAAAAUUAAGAAGCCAUUAUAUAGAGAGCCUACGAUCAGGCCAUAGUUACCCAAAGCUUCCAAUGGUUUUCAAUCCUUGUUUCCAUAGACAAAUCAGAGUCUAGGUGCAUCAAAGUUCCCUAAGGGUCACAAGGACCCCGGGCAAUGCUUACACCUAGACUUAAUAGCCAAGCAUUGAACCGGUGCAGUGUGGAAAGCCAGCCUUAGUAUGCCAGAGUUCCAAGGGUUCUCAAGGGGAUCCCAAAGCAGUACACAUACUAGAGGGGGCAGAACUUAUUAACUAGGAGUAGAGUGAAAGUGCAGGACACAUGUUUGAAAGGAGUUUGUUAUAAAAAACCUAGACUGAAAGGUCCAUUUUGAAAGCAAUUAGUAACAGAGAUGGUUGAAAGAAAUUGGAUUAGUAAAACAGAGUUCAAACACUUCAGGGUAAGACCACACAUAGCAAGUGAAUGAAUUCAUUAAUCACACGUGGGGUUAAGGGGGUUUUAGGAUACAUAUACAUUGACUGCAGACACCUGACCCCAGCAGGAGUAUUAUGACCGGUAUAUACAUGCUCAGAGAUAGUUGGAUACUUGCAUAAUCACAAACUAGUCAUGAACACAUAGAGGAAGGAUAGGGGAUUUGGAAUUCACAAAGUGGUCAGUGAACAUUAGGUAAAAGAAUACAAUUGUCCAGCCAUGAUUGAAUCACACAAAGGGAAUACAUGAAUUUAAAGGGAGGGGAAUCAUAUCCGCAUGCUUAGAUAUAGACUUCACAACAAAACCACAAGUAAAAGUAGGCCAGAAAUAAAAGAAACUGAAACAGGAAUAGAAACUUGUUGUUGUUGAGACUUUAAAUUAAACUAGGACAUACCAGUGAAGAUAGAGGUAAGCAAAAUGAAAGAACCAAGGUUUACAGAUGAUUAGCCCUGGCUUGCAGCCGGCUAAUAGUAGUAGAAUAACAUAGAGUUUUUUAAGUAAGAGAGGAGUUUUUGAAAGCCAAGUCUCGUGUCUUGUUAAUGAAAGACUUAGGGUAUUUAUAGAUUUUAAAAUAGGUAGAAAAUAAGGUAACAAGUAAAGGUUUAGCACAAUUAUGAAAGUAAUCACAAUUAGAAUCCAAUUAAUACAAGUACUCCCCUUUAAUCAAGGAAUUACAGCUUAAACGGAUACCAACAGGGAUAACCAAGGAAAGAAAAUCAGUUGGAGAAAGACUUGUUUUUACAAUAUAAGGGGUAGUAAAAGUAUAGAGCAUAUGAUUGAGUCUAAGUACAGAAUACAUUAAUUAGGGAAAGGAUUCAGCAAGAAUGAAGCACCACAACAAAUACGAAAUGGAAUCAAUCAACUUAAACAACCGAGUAAAAUUUUACGAUUUUAUAAGAAAAUCUUGCAAUCAAACCAUAAAUUAAGGAAAUCAGGAUAAAUCAAGAGGGAGUCAUGAUUUUGUACUUCAACAUAUAAAUAGAGAAGAAUGAACAGGCAUAGCAGACAUGCAAGGUCAGUCAUAUCGACAGAAAGAAGCAAGAGAUGAGCAAACCAGAUGGACACAAUCAUACAGAAAUGACACAAGUAGGCUAAGGACUCUGUAGAAAAACCCAUUCGAAGCAUGGUAACCAACUGAAACUUAACAAAGUCAAGUAGUCAUGGCUAACACACACAACCAGAGUGAAGAAAACCAAUCUAACACACAAAAACAAGUAAAGAAGACCAGGCCAACACACAGAAACAAGUAAAGAAAAUCUUUACGAAAUUAGGGCUUUUAACAGAGUUGAGUUAAAAAUCAGUAAGAACUUAGAAUCGGUCAAGAUAAACAAAGAAAAAGGUUUAAUCAUAAAGAAAUCAGUCAAAACAGGUAUAGAAAGAACUCUGAAAACCCUAGUUUCUCAAAAGGAGUAAAAAAUUGUUUAAAGUAGAAGAUCUUUCAGAAGAAAGCUCGAGAAUAAGCAAGUCAUAUAAGGAGAUAGGCUUAAAGCAUAAAAAUAACAUAGAUCUGAGAGAUUCGGAAGAGAGUUAGGGUUUCAAAAAGAAAACCAAGUAAAAAUUAAAGGAACCUAUUGAAACUUCACCGAUCGUGACAUAUAAGGUGUGAUUUUGCCCAAAAUCACACCGGAGACCCAUAAGUAACAGGAACAAAAACUCUAGGUCCAAAUCGACAUUGCCUAGGACCCUUGAGGGCCUUAGAGAUGAUGAGCAGGGUGAUGAGAGACCCAUUGGAGGUUUGGGUUUGAAAGGGUGUUCGCCGGAGAUGACUGGAGAAGGAGGCAGUGAAAAGUGAUUAGGGUUUGGUCGAGAGAGAAGAGAGACGAGAGCAUCUGAGGGCGACACCCUUAGAAAAGUGAAUAGGGUUAGGGGGUCUCUCAGAAUUAAAAAGGAAAGGUUGAAUGAGGGCCGUUGAUCUAAGAGAUGAACGACCAGGAUUUAGGAUGGCUUGGGUCGGAUAGACGUGUAUAGGAUCUGGGUCGGGUGGUUUGGGUGUGAAAUUGGGCUGGAAAGGGGUCCAAUUUUGGGUAAAAUUGAAAGCCGAAUUUGGAUGUUAUUUAAAUAGCCAAUUUCACCUAUUUAAUUCAUAAAACAUAACAGACAAUUUCUAGAAAAUAAAUUUAAGGUGCCAAAAUGAUUUGAAAUACAUAAUUAACCAUUUAAAAAUACGAGAUCUAAUUUUAUGCAUAUAAAACAUAAUUAAAUCUUAAAAGGGCUAAUAUUGCAAUUAUGUGCAAUUUAGCUUUAAAAAUACUAAAUGUAAUUGAAAAUAUAUAUAUAUAUUAACUUAGCCAUAUUUUAGCUUAAUUAAAGAAAUUGAAUAGAUGAAUUAUCAAAACAAUAAUUUUGGAAACAAUUACUGGGAUUUUAUGGAUAAAAAGGAGAAAAUAAGUCAAUUUAAUCCUUUAAAAUUAUGGGAAAAAUAAUAAAAACCUUGGACAUUCUUAUAUAUGCAUAUAUAUGCUAUUUUGAAGGUAGUUAUGCAUAUUUAAAAUAUAUAGGAAAAGAUUGGGUAUCAACACUAAUGUGUUGUUAAACUUUUCGUACUAUUGCUUAGAUGCCUACUUUAGACCAUACAAAGACUUUCUCAAUUUGCAUACUUUAUUCUCCUAUCCUUGGAUCAUAAAUCCCUCAGGCUGAGACAUAUAGAUCUUUUCAUCUAAAUCACCAUUUAGGAAAGCCGUUUUAGCAUCCAUUUGAUGUAUUACUAAAUUAUGAAUAGCGGCUAAAGCAACAAGAGUUCUAAUAGUCGCUAUCUUAGUCACAGGAGAAUAAGUGUCAAAGUAAUUAAUGUCUUUCUUUUGAUUAAACCCCUAAUAACAAGUCUAUCCUUAUAUUUCUUAAUUGUACCGUUAGGUCUCAAUUUCUUCUUAAAUAUCCACUUGCUACUUAUGAGUUUACAACCUUUAGGCAAAUCAGAUAAGUCCCAAGUGUGAUUAGAAACUAUAGACUCUAAUUCACUUUUAAUGGUCUCUUUCCAAAAACUAGCAUCUAUUGACCUCAUUGCUUCACUAUAUGUCGUGGGUUCUUCUUCUAUUAAAUAGAUUGACACUAAUUCAUCACUCAAAAUAUCAGAACCAAUAUUAUCAUUCAAGAAAGUAGUAAUAAAGUCAGGACCAAAGUUAGUUUUAAUUUUACACCUCUUACUUCUUCUAAGUUUGUUUUCAUGCUUAUUAGUAGUAACACUAGAAGAAGGCACAAUAUGAGAAUUAACAGACAUAGAUGUAGAAGCAUUAUUAGGCACAUUAAACCUGCUGGUACGAUAUAUCCAUCUCUAACUCCCGGGCCAUGUUAAUCAUAAUGCUGGGAUGGAGCCCCUCGAUAAACUGAUGGACCCUCUCUCGAAAUGUAGCACCCAAGGCUGGUGCAUGUCUAGACAAAUCACUGAAGCAAAUCGCAUAAUAUGACAGAGUCAUAGCACCCUAGCGCAACUGCUCAAACUUUGGGCGUCAAGCAUCCCUGAGACUCUGAGGAACAUACUCUCCCAAGGACAAACUUGAGAACUGAGUCCAUGUAAGUGAAGCUACCUCAGCCGGACUACCCAACUCAUAAGCACGCCACCACUGAUAGGCUGCCCCUCUAAGCUGGAACGUAGUGAAAGAAACCUCACUCAACUCUGCUACGCCCAUAGUACGGAGGAUACGGUGGCACUCCUCAAGAAUACAUUGGGCAUCCUAUGACUCCAAGCGACUGAAAGUAGAAGGGUGGUACUCCUUGUACCUUUCGAGCCUACGCUGCUUCUCAUCAGAAACUAUUGCCCUACCCUCAGGAUUGUUGAUACUCAAUUUUUUCUAUAUAUUUUCAACAUGAAUAAUACCUUCAAAAUUGCAUAUAUAUGCAUAUAUAAGCAUGUCCAAUGGUUUUAUUAUUUUUCCAUAAUUUAUAAAGGUUUAAAUUAAUUCAUUUUCUCCCUUUUUAUCCAUAAAAUCACAAAUAACUAUUUUCAAAAUUAAUAUAUUGAUAAUUCAUCUAUUGUAUUCCUAUAUUUAUGCCAAAGUAUGUCUAAAUUAAUUUUUACAUAUUUUUAUAAUUACAUUUGGUAUUUUUAAAGCUAUAUUGCACAUAAUUGCAACAUUAGCCCUUUUAAGAUUUAAUUAUGUUUUAUAUGCAUAAAAUUGGAUCCUAUAUUUUUAAAUUUCUAAUUAUGUAUUAUAAAUCAUUUCAGCUUUUUAAAAUUAUUUUUAGAAAUUAUCUAUUAUUUUCUAUAAAUUAAAUAGUGAAAAACUAGCUAUUUAAAUUAUAACCAAAAUUGGCUUUCAAUUGUAGCCUAAAUCAAACGGACCCCCAACCCAAUUUAAAAAUCCACUGGACCCAAGCCCAAACCCAAACCAUACCAGACCCACCUACCCGAUUCAAUCUUGACCGUUGAUCAUUCAGAUCAACGGUCCUCAUUCCCCUUUUCUAAAUUAAACCCAAAUGACCCCCUCCAAACCCUCUCAUUCUCUCAUUCACUCAACCGGUCUCUCAUCUCCCUCUAUUUAUCUCUGGUUCUCUCUAGAACUUUCUCCUUUCCCCUCCUCUCCGAUGAACCUUAUCCACCUUCUCCGGCCAUCUCCCUGCCUGAAUCCAUGGUGGCCUCGCCACCUACCAGCCUUAUGGCUCUUUCUUGAACGUGUGUCAUCGUUUUGAGACCUUCAAGUGAACCAGAGGUGGUUAACUCGCCUCCCAUGGUUUCUCAUGCCAUUUUCUGGCAUCCAUGGCUGUUCGAGUAAGAUCUAUGGCUUUUCCGGCCGAAACCGGUAACAUUCUAAGGUUUUCUCACCUUCUCUGGGCUAUCCGAAACACUAAACUCUAAAUAUUUUUUGAUUUUUUUUAGAUCAGUUUUAGAUCUGUGUAUAUUAUGAGCUUUUAGUGUUUUCCUCAAAGGUUUUUCCCGAUUUUUCCCAAAAUGACUCUUCGUCUUUAAAGACUAGGUUUUCUUAACCUCUUUUUAAAAGACUUCUCUUCUGAUUUUCAAUAUUAUCAUAGGAUGUUAAACGGUUUAUUUAUGUUUUCUUCUACCUAAUUCAUCACGUUGAAAACCCUAAUUAUUAUGGUUUUGUCUAGGGUUCUGGAACAGUCUUUGCUUAUGUGAUUUGUAUGUAUACCUGUUUCGAUUAAUUUCUCUAUGAUUAGACCUUUCUCUUUGUUUAUCUUGACCAAUUCUAAGUUUCUACCGCUUUUUAAUUCAACUCUGUCAAAAACCCUAAUUUCUUAAAGAUUUUUUUCACUUGUUACUGUGAGUUCUUUACUUGUUCUGUGUGUUGGCCUGAUCUUCUUUACCUGUUGCUGUGUGUUAAACUGGUUUCUUCACUCUGGUUCUAUGUGUUAGCCCUGACUACUUGAAUUUGUUAAGUUUUUAUUGAUUACCAUGCUUCGAGUAGGUUCUUUUUGGUCCAUGGCCUACUCAUAUGAUUGUGUUCAUCUAGUUUGUUCAUCUCUUGCUUCUUUUUGUCGAUAUGGCUGACCAUGCAUGUCUGAUAUGCCUGUGCAUUCUUCUCUAUUUAUAUGUCGAAGUGCAGAAUCAAGAUUCCUUCUUGAUUGAUCCUGAUUUCCUUAAAUUAUGGUUUGAUUGCAAGGUUUUCUUGUAAACCCCUAAAAUUUUACUUGUUUGUUUAAGUUGAUUGAUUUCAUACCCUUAUUUGUUGUGGUGAUUCAUUCUUGCUGAAUAGUUUCCUCAAAUUAGUGUAUUCUGUACUUAGACUCAAUCAUAUGCUCUAUACUUUUACUACCCCUUAUUUAGUAAAAAAAAAUCUUUCUCAAACUAAUUUUAUUUCCUUAAUUAUCCCUGUUGAUAUCCGUUUAAGCUGUAAUUCCUUGAUUAAAGGGGAGUACUUGUAUUAAUUGGAUUCUAAUUGUGAUUACUUCUAUAAUUGUGCUAAACCUUUACUUGUUACCAUAUUUUUUACCUAUUUUCAAAGCUAUAAAUACCCUAAGUCUUUCAUUAACAAGACCAGACUUGGCUUUCAAAAACCCUUUUCUCACUAAAAGAAAACUUCUGUGUUAUUCUACUACUAUUGGUCGGCCUCAAGCCAAGGCUAAUCAUCUAUAAGCCUUGGUUAUUUCAUUUGUUUACCUCUAUCUUCAUUGGUAUGUCCUAGUUUAAUUUAAAGCUUAAACAACAAUAUAUUUCUAUUCCUGCUUCAGUUUCUUUUAUUUUUGGCCUGCUUUUACUUAGGUUUUUGUUGUGAAGUUUGUAUCUAAGCAUGCUGAUAUGAUUCCCCUCCCUUUAAAUUCAUAUGAUUCGAGCAUGCUUGGACGAUUGUAUUCUUUGACCUACUGUGCACUUACCAUUUUGUGAAUCCCAAAUCUUAUAUCCUUCGUCUAUGUGUUUCAUGACUGGUUUGGGAUUAUGCCAGUGUCCAACUAUCUCUAAGCAUGUCCCUACCAGUCCUAAUAUUCCUGCUGAGGUCAGGUGUCUGUAGUCAAUAUAUAUGUAUCCCCAAACCCUCUUUUACCCCCAUGUGUGAUUACUGAAUUCAUUCACUUGUUGUGUGUGGUCUUACCCUGAAGUGAUUGAACUUUGUCUUACUAAUACAACUUAUUUCAACCCUCUCUAUUGCUGACCGCUUUCAAAAUGGACCUGUCAGUCCAGUUUUUAAACAAACUCCUUUCAAACAUGUGUCGUGCACUUUCACUAUACUCAAAGAACACUAGGUUCUGCCCCUUUUAUGUGAGCCUUGCCUUGGGACCCUUGAGUUCCCUCUGAACUUGGACACAUGAAAGUUGGCCUUUCCACACUGCACUUACUCUAUCUUGGCUAAGAAAUCUGGGUUUGAGCACUACCCAAGAUCCCUUGAGGUCCUUAGGGAACUCUGACACACAUAGAUAUGAGGAAAAGCUAUGAAACCAUCUUAACACUUGAGGUGAUUGACUAUAUAACUCAGAGAGGAAGUUCUAAUCAGGCUUCCUAUAGUGUAACUUCUUAUUUUCAUUGCCACUUAUAUAAUUUGUUUCAAUAUUGGUCUGUAAUACCUUGUUGUAAACAAGUAUUGGGGUUGGGAUGGGGUAAAUAUGCAUGCUAUAAUUGUUAAGGGGUAUAAAACAUGUUGUUAGGUUUAUAUUCCUAAUUGCGCAAUAGAAACCAUGCUUAGGGUUCAUACAUGCAUUAGAAAUCAUGCUCUUAGGUCCCAUGUUUCUUUCUUCAGCAUCUCAUCCAUCACUAAUCCAUGUUUUAUGUCUAUCACUUAGAAAUUCUGCACCUAGGACGACAACAACAUUGGCAUAAAAGUUGUUACUCUUGUACUUUCAGAAGUCAUACUUCAAUAAUUCUGCAACUCUUAUGUGUAUUAAGAAAUCAUGCCUUAGGGAUUUUUUUUAAAAAUCCUGCCAUCUGCAUGUGCAUAUUAGAUAUCAUGUUCUAUGAUCCUGUUGGCAUUUUGAUUAAGACGCCUAGUUAAUUACUGAUUCAUGAAAAGGUGAUAAAAAAAUAAUCCCACAUCGUGAUGCUUUCUGAAUAAAAUUAGUAAUAAUCUCUACAUUUGUAUCAAUUAGAACAACAUGCUCUUAGGUAAAAACCAUCUCCAAACUAUUUUAAUAAUUCUGAAUAAUUGUUGCAUAUUGCUUUAUGCCUAGCAAGCCUUAGGUAAUUGCUUAAAUAAAAACAGAACUGUCCUUCUUUAAUUGCCAGCAUGAUAAAAUUAGUAGGCAAACCUGAUUCGGACUUCUUUUCUGAGUUAUGUAAUAAAUCUGGUUCUGCUGUUAUCACUUACAUACCAUGCAUAGGAUUUAAAUUCAGACUUUAACUGUGUAUGAUUCAUGAUGUCUAUGUGCAUUACCUGUGGAGGUAUAUUUGAGCCUUUUGUUUGUAUUCCCUGCUCCCCUUAAUUGAAGUCCUACUUGUCAUUGUAUGUCGCCUAAGUAUUUUGCCUUUAAACUGAGGGUCUGCCUAGAACCUCCUUCUUAUAGGAUAGGAAUCCUAAAUUCCUCCGGGACUGAUAGGAACGGAUGUGUAACAUCAUGCAAUAGGGGCCGAGACCAACCCUCACUUUAAUUACCUUCACGAGCGGGAGAGGGUAGAUAUGGAUAUGAUGACCGGUGCGUUAAUACCAUAUGUAGCCCCUCUUUGAGGAGUGUCAUACCGGGUAUUGCAUUGAUGUGAUUCAUAUUACAAAUAAACCUAAGACACCCCUUUACAUUCAUAAGCAUGCUUUGGAUUGUAAUUCUUUACAAAAAUUCACCUUUAACUAAUUGUUUUCAAACACUUGUGUAUUUAAACUUAAAUCUCCAACUAUUUGAGUUGUACUUGUUUAUUUUCUAAUUGCACAAAUUCACAAAAACUGUCUGGCUGGGAACCACACUAGUGGAUCUUGAUGGGUGCCUAACACCUUCCCCUUAGGAUAAUUUCAAGCCCUUACCCUAUCUCUAGUUACCAAACGUAGUUAUCAAUGAACCGUAUAGAUGCCCUAACACAUCUUAAAAAAUCGUUAGGUGGAGACUCUCCAAAAUGCAAUCGCCUUUCCCAAAAGGAAAGAGUUGUCCCAACCCAAAAUGUCAUGAACCCUAUUCGGCGAGGAAAAAAGGGGGCACGACAGCAUGGCGACUCUGCUGGGGAUAUUAAGGCUUUUACCAUUUCAUACCGUUUUGUGAAUUUGUACCCCUCGCUAUGUGCAAUUAUUUGUUUAAUUCCUUUAAGCAUUUAAUUUCUUUUUCAAAAGCAAAACUGACAUAUCUUUCUUGUUUCCUUCCUUUAUAACUGCUUUAAUUUAUGAAACUGAUGUAUUUAUUGCUUUCUUAAUGUGCAAAUACAUGUCAACAUGCUUUUAAUUAUUGCAUAAUCAUGCUCAACAUCAUACUCCAAUCAUGCCAAACAAAUACUAUAGCAACCCUUGAUGAGUGGUUGCGCCCUUUCUAUAUCAUUACCCCUUAAAUUCGGAAAGGUUUAUUUGCGGGAAAACUAGUCGAUCAGUGGUGUAGUCGACAGUUCCGUGCCUUCCCCCUUGAGUUUUCCACUCAAGGGUACUAGUCUAAAACCCCAUAGAAACCUUACUCUGUUUAAAUUGUGCAUUCAUCGUGGUCAAACCUAGCCGGGUCAGUUAUGUUGUCCACAUAAUGAUCAUUUAAGAUAGCCUCGUCCAAAGUCCACUGGGUUUCUGUAAACCCAAACGGACGUCAUCAAGUUAUGUACAUUUAUUUGGAGAACUAAAUGCAUCAUGCUAAUUGUUGAUGUUAAAUAGUCGAUUAUGGUGGGGGUAAGGGCCUAACCUUCUUUUUCUUGUAGAAAUAUGAGGCACGAAGUCCCCAGAUUCGGCAUGGUCACCAACAUCCACCCAAGGUUGCUAAGUUGGUGGAAAGAUUUACAUUCUAGUGACAAAACCCUCGUCAGAAAACAUCUGGGCAAUCUACCAUCCCUCCCAAAGAUCUAGCCUAACAACAUGAUAAUAAAAGUCGCUACAUUAUUUUGGGAUUGUGAAAGGGCCGUGUUCCACUUUGGGGACAUCGAAAUGACUCCUUUGCUAGAGGAGAUAGGGGGACUGGCCGGUCUAGCGUGGAAAACUUCGGGUUUCUGAUGCCUGAGAACCGCACAGGCAAGGGUUUCCUUAAAAUGAUGGGUUUGAAGAAGAAUGCAUAAUUGGUAUACCUGAAGGAAUCGUACAUCCAUUUUGACUACCUGUAUGAAAGGUACGGUCAUAGCAAAUCCUACCGUACCUACCUUGACGAGUUUGCCAUCACGUCCUUGGGGCAUAUUCAUCGUAGGGUAUUCGUCUUCAUGUUUUACUUCCUGGGUUUUAUCGUGUUUCCAAUGAAGAAAGGGAGAAUCCAUACUAGGUUGGCUAUGGAAACCAAGACCCUAAUGGAGGGGAUUGGUGGGCAGCCAUUCAGCAUUGUGCCCAUGAUCAUCGCAGACAUAUACCGAGCCCUAGAGAAGUGUCAACGAGGAGCAAGACACUAUGAAGGCUGCAAUCUACUACUUCAGCUCUGGCUUAUGGAACAUCUCAAAAGGGCGAAUACCGACAAGAAAUUCAGCGAAGGGGCUGGGAUGAUCACAUCGCUUUCCACUAUCCAAAGCGAAUAAAUUACAUCAUCGACAUGUUCGCUCAGCAUGAGAAUGCCAAAGGAUGGGUUGAGCUCUUUGAUAAUCUAACUAAAGAAUAGGUUCAAUGGAUGUUCGAGUGGUUUUCGACAGAGGAGUUCAUCGCCCGAUCCAGAGAUGUACCUUUCCUGACACUGAUUGGUCUAAGAGGAACAUAUCCUUACGUCCCUAUUCAAGUUAUGAGGCAAGCAGGUAGGAAGCAAGUCAUACCCAGGGUCGACAAGAUGAGCCAUUCCGAGCUAACUUCCAAAAUGAUGAUAGUCCCUACAAGUGCCAAGCCCAACACAUGUGGCACUGCAAUACCGUAAUGGGGAAAGACAACAUCGAGCCAGAAAGAUAUCAUGUCGGUUGUAAUCCUUUCUAUUCAGGUUGGUUGGAAGACAAUUGGGAUGGUCUAGGCCAGCCAAGGUUCGUUCGAGGUCACAGAAUUAUAAAUGAAAAGGCCGAGGUGCAAGUUAAGUACAACCAAUUGCGUAAAAGGAUCCGUGAAUGCUAGAGCGAAUACCGCGAGAUACAAGAGUCCAACUAGAAGCUGAUUGAGGAAUGGAAAGACAUGGCUAUUAGUGCCAAAAAAGGAUAGGAUACUUGGAGCGAGGCAUAGUAGAACUAGAGGGAAAAUUUCUCAAAAGGGUUAAAGACUGUCAAAAAGCUGAAGGGACCGAAGGUGGACAUCUAGCCAGAGCAUACCUGUUGCUAGGACUUCGUGAAUUGGGGAAGUUGUUCAAAGGAGCCAGAGAUGCCGAGUCUGGGGAAGGUCCUUCUAGGACCAAAUAGAUAGGAAUUUACUUUUUCGCUUUAUAAAUAUAAUAAGGCCAAUGGCCAUUAGUGACUUUUAUUUCUUGUUUAUUCAGUGUCGUUUUGGUAUUCGUCUAUUUUUAUCAAUAAAAUGAGGCAUUUAGCAUUCUAAGUUCUCCAAAUAGAUUUAUCGCUAAGCCUACCUCGAGCACAAAGGGGUUCCCAAAUUAGGACACACUUUACAUUCUUGCACUAUGUGUUUAAAUAUUGCAAUACUUUUUAUAAUCCUUACUAACUUGAUUACCUUUUGUUUUAUUUUUUGUUUUAUUAUUCCCCUCCCCGAAGGUUAGUUCGUGCACUCUGGCAUCAUCAUCUUAUUUCACUAGAUCCAAGGGCCUUCCACCCACUCCUCCUCUUAGUCCCAUUAAAGGCAAGAAUAAAGGCAAGAUGGAAGAUUUGAACAACAUCAGGAAGAAGAACACCGUUGAACGGGUAGAGGCCACUGAUGGCCAUGGAACACAAACUGUUGAAAUUUCAGAAAGAGCUCGAUCAGGUUUAAAAUCUGGCAAACUUGUCAUUUUCCCUCAACACCCCAGAUAUCAACUUCCCCAGGGCUCAAAACCCUACACCUCCUCAAAAUAUCCCAAAACAAUAGAAUCAUCCCGCUCCUCACCAUCACGUUGCUCCACCAAAGAACCAAUGUAACACCUGCCAUACCUCAAACAACACUCCACUACUCAUCCCAGAACCUCAUAACUCCACAAACUACCAUUUUCACACCCAUACACCAGGCCACCAUAACACUCAUAUCUACGUGGAGACCGUGCCACACCCCACCCAACCUAUCUCAGGCACACCUGAGUCUGAUGAAAAGGAUCUUCUUAUUAGGAACUUGGCCGAAGUACUUAAGAAACUAACCAGCCGAAUUCAGGGAAUUGAGGGAAGCAAAGGAAUUGAGGGGCUGAACUAUGAGGACCUUUGCAUAUAGCCUGAUGUCGAACUGCCUGAGGGGUACAAACCUCCCAAGUUCGAAAUGUUUGAUGGUACUGGUGAUCCAAGGGUCCAUAUGAGGACAUAUUGCGACAAGCUGGUUGGAGUAGGGAAGAAUGAAAGGAUCCACAUGAAGCAGUUCAUGAGGAGUUUGAAAGGAGAUGCAUUAUCUUGGUACAUCAGCCAAGAUCCCAAGAAGUGGUCAAGCUGGGUAAGCAUGGCAUCUGACUUUAUGGAUAGAUUCAGGUUCUUUACGGAGAAUGCACCAGAUGUGUUCUAUAUCUAAAAUUUGAAAAAGAAGUCCACGGAGACAUUUCGCGAGUAUGCUACUCACUGGAGGUCCGAGGCCGCUAAGGUUAGACCCGCCUUAGAAGAGGAGAAAAUGAACAAGUUCUUUGUCCAGGCGCAUGACCUGCAGUACUAUGAAUGACUCAUGAUGAAUGAGAACCACAAGUUCUCCGACAUUAUCAAAUUAGGUGAAAGAAUUGAAGAAGGUAUUAAAAGUGAUAUAGUUACAAAUUUUGAGGCCCUGUAAGCUACAAAUAAGGCUUUACAGUCCGGUGGUGUGUCCAAGAAAAGGGAUGUAGGGGCCGUAAUAAUUGCAUAGAGGACCAAAUCUCCCCUCAAAUACGAAACAUAUCCAACACCUCCACUCACUUACUAGCCAACCCCAAAUUACCAUGCACUCUCACCUUCAUACCAAGCUUUGCCACCAACUUAUCAGUCAUCUCCACCUCCUACAUAUCAACCUACUUCACCUAGAUACUCUCAACCCGCUCAUGUCUACCAAACGUAUAAUGCUCAACCAUCCCAUUAUCAAUCACCAUAUGCCAAAAUUUCCGUAGAUCCCGACCUAAUUUUGAUCGGAGACCUCCGAAACAAUAUAUAGCCAUCGCUGAACCCAUCAACCAGCUGUAUGAGAGACUCAAAGUUGCUGGUUAUAUCACCCUCAUCCCUGCUGCAACCCCUAAGAAUCCUUCUUAGUGGGUUAACCCAAACAAAUCCUGCGCAUACCACUGUGGGUGAAAGGGCACACCAUCAAUGAAUGUCGUUCCUUGAAAGACAAGAUAUAGUCUUUGAUUUAUAACAAGAUCAUUGUGGCAAAGAAACCGAAUAUUACUCUCAACCCAAUCAUAGUCCAGAUCUAACCGUCCGACGACACUGAGGUAAAUAUGUUUGUACCUCUUGAAUUUGAAGCAGCACCACCCGCAAAGACACCGGCACCAAUUGAGGUUGAAUUCGUGUCUCCGACAAAUCCACCCGCACCAUUUGAGGUUGAAGUCUUGCCAUCCAAGACACAUGUUCCAUUGGAAGUAAGGAUAGCCACGCCGAUCCUAGUGGCGAUAUCUACCAUGACACCAUUCUAUACAAAUGUUGUACCCUGGGACUAUACAGCCGAGGCGAGAAGGAAGGGCAAGGUCAGGAUUGAAGAAACUGUCGCAACAUAGGGUAUGACAAGAACUGGUAGAGUCUAUACCCCUGAACAUCUAGUUGAAACAAGCAAGUAGGCCUCCAAUCGACCACCCCUCAUUGAGACAGGUCCGGAUGACCUUUGGAGGAAAAUAUAGGCCAAGGAAUAUUCGGUCAUCGACCAGUUAAAUAAGACGCUAGCACAAAUAUCCAUUCUCUCUUUGGUGCAAAAUUCUGAGGCACACAAGACUUCUUUGUUAAAGGUGCUAAAUGAAGCAAACGUACCAAGUAACAUCACUAGCAGGGAAGUAGCUAAUAUGGUAGGACAAGUUUUGGAAAGCCAUAAGAUCACCUUCAUGAGGACGAGCUUCCAUCUGAAGAGAUGGGGCACAAAAAAGCACUGCACAUCACCAUGCAAUAAGAAGAUUAUUUCAUCACCAGAAUCCUGAUCGAUGGAGGUUCUAGUCUUAACAUUUGUCCGCUGGUAACACUCAAGAAGUUGGGUAAAGGGAUGCAUGAGAUAAAGUAUGGAGCAAUAAAUGUGAAAGCCUUUGAUGGUUCUCAUAGGUCCACCAUUGGUGAGAUUAGUCUAUGCAUGCAGAUGGGACCAACCAGGUUCGAGGUUGAUUUCCAAGUAAUAGAUGUCCAACGUCUUACAACUUGCUGCUGGGACGGCUAUGGAUUCAUGUUUAUGGGGCCGUAGCAUCAACGCUGCAUCAGGCAGAAAAUUUCGAAUCGAAUCACCAGGAAGUGAUCAUUCAUGGCGACGGUAGCAACCCUAUAUAUAGUCUCCAGACCAUUACGGCGAUCAGGGGAAGAAGUAAGCUAGGUGGAGAAACUUACCACCACAUUGAGCGGGUUAAUGCUAUUGACAAAGACAAAUGGUGGGAUAGAAAAAUUGAGAGUAUACCGAGUUAGAGUGGGUACGAACCUGGCAAAAGCCUCGGCAAGAACCUCCAAGGAAUCUCUAAACCCAUAAAACUCAAGAAACAUGGCACUACUUUCGGUCUGGGAUAUGAUUACACUUGGGAAGAAUUCAAUAACUUGUCACCACCAUGGCGCAGUCCUUACUAUCCACUAGAGCAGUCAAUACCGCAUAUGGAGCAGACUUUCCAACAAGCUGACAUUAUUUAUGGGUCAGAUGAAGAAGAAGCACUUGAAGCAGUGAAAAACUUGUUUCUGGCGGACAAUGAUAUAGAUUGUUGCAUUAUUCUUGAGGAGGAGGGGAGGAAGGCCCUUCCAUACAAGCUAUGAGCAGAGAGGCACAUCUCAAUAAUUAGACCCUCAGGACAACCAAAGCCUGACGAGCCUCGGGGUAGAAAGGCUAAAACAAACAUUAUUCACUGUUUUAUUUACUAAAUGAUUUUCUUUUCGCAUUUUUCAAUUCCCGCAAUAAGAUCUUCAGUGUUCAAAACAGUUACUCAAUCUAUCAAAAGCAUUCUGAUUUUUCUUAUGGAUUAAUAUUUAUUGUUAUCGUUUUCUAUCCUUGCUUAACCAAUACAACAUUACUAUUACUUGUCUUGAUGAACUAAUGACUCUGACAUACAAUGAGACAACGUAACAAAUGGACAUGGAUUCGGAAGAAGAUGACAUACCUGACGAGAUUAUCAAAGAAGUUGAGAACUUUGAGAACAGGUCUAAGUCCAACCUGGACGAGACCGAGAUUGUCAACUUGGGAGAUGCAGAAAACGUCAAGGAAACACGGAUCAACAUUCACUUAUCGCCAUCAGAGAAGAAAGAAUACACAGAAUUUCUAAAGGAGUAUGAUGUCAUAUUUGCCUGGUCAUAUGAUGACUUGACCGAUCUAAGUACGUCCAUUGUGGCUCACAAACUACCAACAGAUCCAAUGUGUCCACCGGUAAAGCAAAAGCUCAGAAAGUUCAAGCCUGAUAUGAGUUUGAAAAUCAAGGAAGAAUCCAACAAGCAGAUGAAAGCUAAGGUUCUCAGGGUAGUAGAAUACCCGACAUGGUUAGCCAACAUUGCCAGUACCAAAGAAGGAUGGGAAGGUCAGAGUCUGUGUCGACUACCGGGAUCUCAACCGGGCCAGUCCAAAAGAUGACUUCCUAUGCCAAAUAUACACAUACUGAUUGAAAAUUGCGCCAAGCAUGAGCUACAGUCAUUCGUAGAUUGCUUUGCUGGUUAUCAUCAAAUCUGGAUGGAUGAGGAAGAUGUUGAGAAAACAGUUUUCGUUACGCCAUGGGGAGUGUACUGUUACAAGAUGAUGUCAUUCGGCCUGAAGAAUGCAGGGGCCACCGAGAUGAGGGUCAUGACUACCAUGAUAUGAUACACAAGGAGAUAGAUAUAUAUGUAGAUGAUUUCAUUAUCAAAUCCAAGAAGGCCACUGACCACGUAGAAGAUCUGAGGAAGUUCUUCAAUAGACUGCGGAGAUACAACCUGAAACUAAACCCCGCAAAGUGCGCAUUUGGGGUUCCUGCUGAGAAAUUGCUUGGGUUUAUUGUGAGCCGCCGAGGAAUAGAACUAGAUCCAUCAAUAGUCAAAGCCAUUCAGGAACUACCACCGCCAAAGAACAAGAAGGAUGUGAUGAGUUUUUUGGGAAGGCUUAACUAUAUCGGCCGAUACAUAGCACAUUUUACUGUUAUCAGUGAGCCAAUCUUUAAAAUGUUGAAGAAGGACGCUGCUACCAAAUGGACCGAUAACUGGCAAAAGGCCUUCAACAAAAUCAAAGAGUACCUGUCAACACCACCAGUCUUAGUCCCGCCCGAACCAGGUAGACCCUUAUUACUUUACCUUACAGAAUUAGAUGGAGCUUUUGGCUACAUUCUGGGGCACCAUGAUGAAACGGGGAAGAAGGAGCAGGCCAUUUAUUAUCUCAGUAAGAAGUUCACCCUGUACAAGGUACGGUAUUCUCUAUUGGAAUGCACCUGUUAUGCUUUGACUUGGGUAGCUCAAAAGCUGAGACAUUACUUUUGCGCCUAUACUAAGUAUCUCAUAUCGAGGAUGGAUCCUUUGAAGUACAUCUUCCAGAAGCCCAUGCCCACUAGCAAGCUAGCCAAGUGGAAAAUCCUAUUGAGUGAGUUCGACAUUGUUUAGGUAACUCAGAAAGCAGUCAAGGAACAGGCACUGGCGGACCACCUUGCUGAAAACCCCGUGGAUGGAGGAUACGAACCCUUGAAAACGUAUUUUUCCUAAUGAAGAGAUAUCAUUAAUAGGAGAAGUCAUUACUGUCACACCUUCUUUUUGACUAUACCCCGAGAGGGGUAUAAGGGAGUUUUUUUCAAUUUAAGUGACAAUCGAACGGGAUUUAUUUAUUUAUUCAAAGUCACCACUUGGGAUAAUUUAUGGUGUCCUAAGUCACUGGUUCAAAUCCCGAAUCGAGGAAAGAUUGACUCUGUUUUAUAGUCCGCGAACACAAAAAUCCGGGUAAGGAAUUCUGUUAACCCGGGAGAAGGUGUUAGGCAUUCCCAGGUUCCGUUGUUCUAGCACGGCCACUCAACUGUUAUUAUUGGACUAAUUAUCUGAUUUUAAAACACUUUUAAAUCUAUGUGCAUUUUUAACUUUAAAACCGCUUUUAUUUAUUAUUUUUAGGAAGAUUCAACGUUAUUUAAAAUACGCCUUGAACCACGCCACAUGAAAUGCACCCGUGGUCCAUGACAUAUUUUAUUUAACGUUGUUGAGAAUUGUAGUUGGGUCACAUGAAAUGCACACCCGAGUUUAAGGAAAUUAAUUUAAAUAGCGCGCCUAAAGCAACUACGCACUUUCAAGUUUGCGAGGGCCAUGAAAAAUUCAACUAAUGGCACACCUCGAUUUCUAAAGAGGUAAAAUUGAUUACCCAAGAGCCAUGAUCUUAGGGGUUUUAUUGAGCAUGACAUGCCUCAAAUUAUUGUAACGUGAAUAGACAAAAAUAACCAGAUUUCGCCAAUUUUAUCUAGAAUCAUAAACAUGAAAUCAACCAAACAUAAUUCAUGUAAAUCUUAACCAUUGAUAUGAACAAAACCAACCAAAGAGAAAUCAUGAAUCUCAUAAUCAUACACCUCACAAAAAUAAUGAAAGGACUAAGUAGUUAAACUGUUAAUAGAGCACGACUAGCGUAGUUAACAGCAUCAUGAUCAUGGUCCCUAAGCUUAUUUGCGUCAGUUGUUAGACAAUUAUCAUGUUACUGAAUCAAAAGAAAACAACCACUGUCAAUUAAAAGAAAUCAAUGGCCACUAACAGAUAAAUUGCAAGAUAUGUAAUCCUCACUAAGAUAUAAAGCUACAGUGCAUGGACUUCCAAUCAAAAUUUCUUUCAGAUUUAUUAAUAUCAGAAGCACGUAAUUGAAUCUUAAUGCAUCGAAACAUGUAUUUGUACCCACAUUAAUAAUUAAGCAAACCUCAUCUAAUUUGUAAUCUACUGAUAUUUUUCAUGAUCCAUAUGUUUUAGAUUCCUAUAUCUCUUUUACCCAAGGUUUUCAUCAUACGUUAGUCAACUCAUAAUUAAAUUAAGGGGAAAUCAAGGAGUGGACCUGAAUUUGCAGAACUUUAAUUAAUUCCAGGAGCAAAGAAAUAUAAAUUAACAGCCACGAACGAACCUCGAUCAUCAACGAACACUCAAACAAACCCCCCACACGGGCAAAAUUUAACUCAUCUCCAUUGAAAUUAGAAGGAACAAAACUUCAAAAUUCAAACGACCUCUAUAACAAACCUCGAACAGAGCCUCGCGCCGGCGGAAGGAACAACGAUAUCACAGCAAAUCUAGGGAUAACAAAUCGAACGAAUCUGAGAUGCUUAGACUCCAAAAUGCUGGUUGAAGUUGAAGAAGAAAGAACUGAGGGGUCAUUGGUUUCGUUUUAUCGAAGAAGAAGAAACAACCAUGGAGAGUUCUAUCGUUUUCGCUGAGGAAGAAGCUCGAGUUCGCUGAGGGUGUCUUGUAUGUGAUCAACGGUGGAUCAGAUUUUUUU